This 253-nucleotide ribosomal RNA is filed under the name uncultured bacterium. RNAcentral describes it as "partial 16S ribosomal RNA". It matches the Rfam family "Bacterial small subunit ribosomal RNA", at positions 524 to 776 of the family's 1533-position model. The record is from RNAcentral.
UACGUAGGGGGCAAGCGUUGUCCGGAAUCAUUGGGCGUAAAGAGCGUGUAGGCGGCCAAGCAGGUCCGUUGUGAAAACUGGAGGCUUAACCUCCAGACGUCGACGGAAACCGCGUGGCUAGAGUCCGGAAGAGGAGACUGGAAUUCCUGGUGUAGCGGUGAAAUGCGCAGAUAUCAGGAGGAACACCGAUGGCGAAGGCAGGUCUCUGGGCAUUAACUGACGCUGAGGAGCGAAAGCAUGGGGAGCGAACAGG